Molecule: unclassified non-coding RNA, 539 nt
Filed under: Hevea brasiliensis (rubber tree)
Lineage: Eukaryota; Viridiplantae; Streptophyta; Magnoliopsida; Malpighiales; Euphorbiaceae
Source: RNAcentral
AUGAUGAGAAGAAGAAAGAACUUGAAACAGAAAGGACCAAGGAAGAGCAACUCUCAAAGAAGCGACGGAGAGAAGAGAGACGAGAAAAGUACCGUGUGCAGGAUAAAAUGAAUAAGAAAAGCCGCAGGGAUACUUAGUCCUGAAACAGUUCUAUCUACUCGGAUAAUUGGGCCAAUCUUGCUGGACGAACUGAGCAUGAUUGAUUGCCAAACUGGCUUCAUAUCAUUUAGUGGCGACUUUGCAGCAUCAGUGGUGACUUGUUGUAAUCAGCUUGCGAUGAGGUGUGACUUUAACGUGUUUGACCAAACACUGGAUAGUUUGCUAUCCUUGGCCUCUACAGCCUCGCGGUGUACCAUGGUCUAUACAACCCAAAAUGAAAAAAUAUUGGCCAUUUUUUGUAGUUUAGUGAAGUGAUUAUUAUUUAUCAAGGUGAUUCUAUAGAAAGAUGUACUAAUCACAUGAACAUACAAUUCAAUGCUUUGCUUGUGUUUUUUUGUUGGAAAUUCCCGGAAACCCUGCUGCCCCUUUCAGGUGCAAAU